This 960-nucleotide ribosomal RNA is filed under the name uncultured marine bacterium. Its description in RNAcentral is "bacterial SSU rRNA". It matches the Rfam family "Bacterial small subunit ribosomal RNA", at positions 62 to 1066 of the family's 1533-position model. The record is from RNAcentral.
UCGAACGAAGUAGCAAUACUUAGUGGCAGACGGGUGAGUAACAUGUAGGUAUCUACCCUUUGGCCUGGAAUAACACGAGGAAACUUGUGCUAAUACCGGAUAAGUCUUUACGGAGAAAGCUUUAUGCACCAUUGGAUGAGCCUGCAUUUGAUUAGUUUGUUGGUGGGGUAAUGGCCUACCAAGACUUUGAUCAAUAGCUGAUUUGAGAGGAUGAUCAGCCACAUUGGGACUGAGACACGGCCCAAACUCCUACGGGAGGCAGCAGUGGGGAAUCUUGCACAAUGGAGGAAACUCUGAUACAGCGAUGCCGCGUGAGUGAAGAAGGCCUUUGGGUUGUAAAGCUCUUUCGUCGGGGAAGAAAAUGACUGUACCCGAAUAAGAAGGUCCGGCUAACUUCGUGCCAGCAGCCGCGGUAAUACGAAGGGACCUAGCGUAGUUCGGAAUUACUGGGCUUAAAGAGUUCGUAGGUGGUUGAAAAAGUUGGUGGUGAAAUCCCAGAGCUUAACUCUGGAACUGCCAUCAAAACUUUUCAGCUAGAGUUUGAUAGAGGAAAGCAGAAUUUCUAGUGUAGAGGUGAAAUUCGUAGAUAUUAGAAAGAAUACCAAUUGCGAAGGCAGCUUUCUGGAUCAUUACUGACACUGAGGAACGAAAGCAUGGGUAGCGAAGAGGAUUAGAUACCCUCGUAGUCCAUGCCGUAAACGAUGUGUGUUAGACGUUGGAAAUUUAUUUUCAGUGUCGCAGCGAAAGCGAUAAACACACCGCCUGGGGGGUACGACCGCAAGGUUAAAACUCAAAUGAAUUGACGGGGACCCGCACAAGUAGUGGAGCAUGUGGUUUAAUUCGAAGAUACGCGCAGAACCUUACCAACACUUGACAUGUUCGUCGCGACUUUAAGAGAUUAAAGUUUUCGGUUCGGCCGGACGAAACACAGGUGCUGCAUGGCUGUCGUCAGCUCGUGUC